Neogale vison (American mink) is the source of this 1242-nucleotide long non-coding RNA. RefSeq lists it as uncharacterized. The record is from RefSeq and is a predicted model, not a curated record. NCBI's taxonomy places the organism in Eukaryota, Metazoa, Chordata, Mammalia, Carnivora, Mustelidae. The transcript has 4 exons.
GAGGGGACGCGGUCAGCUUCCCCCUUCUGGCCGAAUGGCCCUCUCCGACGCUCGGCCCCCGCUCCCCUGGAACACUCCCUCCCAAGCCCUGUCGGGCUGGGCGGGGGUGGCUGUUUGGCCUGGGCAUCGUCUUACUAAUUCGGAACGACGGAGUGGAGGCCACUCAAAGAGGAGGCGAUCCCGGCGGAGGAGGCUUCGUGACUCCUAGCUUCUCCCCCUUACUCCUGUCCCGCACCCACCGGCCCACCCACCACUCGGGACGCCGCGCCCUCGUGGGUUUUUAUACUGGAUGGAGGGGGCGCCGCCAGGAAGCCAAGCCUCCCCCGCUAACUCUUGUUUCUGCAAUUGUAAAGGUAGACACAGCCUCUAUUUGCUGUGAUUGUAGCGAAUGUGACCCCUCAGAAAUUCUUUUUGUCUGCCCCCGAAGGUGGCUGGAGGGCUUGGCGGGAGGUGCCAAGGGCCGCUGGAAGUUGUUUUUAUGGCACUAAGAAUCGAAUCAGGAGAUUGAGGAAGAACUUAUUCAUUCCAUGAAUUUAUUGAGUACUUCCAAAUGCCAGUUACAGGAUUAGACUCUGGGAUUCGAAGGUCUGGAGAAGAAAAUGCUGGGGGAUAGCACUCUUAACUGGAUCUGGCUUUGUAGCUUUCCCUCCACCUUUACUCACCCUACAGACUUUUGAAAUAUUAAGAAGAAUGUUAGAGGGAUUUUACUAGAGCAGUUGAUCGAUCAUUGAAUUCCUUGCCAGCAAAACAUUUUGAUGAGAUACACUUGGGAACAGAGUGGUUUGAGUCAAGCAAGGGAGAAAUUGGUGGCCUUGCUUCCAUUUGCUCAUGUUGCACGUCCAUGUCAAGCUUUCCUUGUGUCAUCCGGAGCUGCUCUCAUCUGAACACCGGAAACCUCUCUGUCCACCAGAGCCUGCCCUUCGACCUCUCCCACCAGAGAUGUUUUUUGACUUUCAGUCACCAAAACCUACCCAGUUCUUCCAGUUUAUUAGCCAUUUUUGGCCUCACUUCUUUCCUUUUGAAUUAAAUGCCUAGACUCACCAUUCUGAAUUUAUUCUCCCCUGUAGUCUAUACUUCAUCUCUCCUUGACCUUCUAAUACAGCUUUGCUAACAACCCUAAUAGUCAGGAGAACUCAGUCACCCAUUCCUUGCAUUUUGUUUUAAAGUCACCAAGGAAGACCAAAGAAAAUCUAAUGACUGUGUUGAUUAGUGACAUCACUAAAACAACAUUUGAGCAGUGGA